CACACCAUAAUCGAUUCUACUACUGUUUAUUAUCAGGUUAUUCUACUAUUCAUAUAAUGGGAACGACGCCAUAUUCAUAAGCAAGUAAAAUAUCUGCUUCUAGAAACCAUCUAGCCUCUUCCACUCUCAUUGGCUUCUGUGUUCUCAUCAUAUUUUUCAUUGUUCUAUUCUUCAUUUGCCUCGAUCUAGUUGAGAAACUUCAGUUCUUGCUAGAUUCAUGCUUCUUUGUGGAUUUGUUUGUUGCUUUUUGUGGUUUUACUAAAGGUUUUUUUCCCAAUUCCUUGUCCGAGAUGUGAAAUUUUUAUUGGGUUACUCUUAUUUUAAUUUGAUCUACUUCUAAAGCUAUAGAUCUUGCUUGGGGGGUAUGUGUGUGUGUGUGUGUGUGUGUGUUUUUUUUGGAUUUCUGCUGUCUUCGACUAUAUUCUAGUUCUGACUAUCAUUUAUACCGUAGUUCUAGCAUAUUUCCAACUGGUUUUUUUUCUUAGUCUAACUCGAUCAGCUGAAAAGCUUCAAUUUUGCUAUAUUUUUACUUUUGUGUGGAUUUUUUUGUUACUUUUUUCACCUUUAUUUAACUUGUUUUUGCUUCUCAUUGUAUAUUGAUAUGUGAAACUUUUGUUGAGUUAUUCUCCACUUACCUUGAUUUACUCCAAAAGCUUUAAUUCUUCAAAUGUGUUCUUUUGCUCGAUAUCUGCCUUUGAUGUUUUUACGAGGAAUACAACAGUUUCUUGUAUUUUUUUUGGCUCGGCUAGGAUUCCUUAUAUUUUUGUCAGCGCUUUUAUUUUUUGUUUUCAACAUUUUACUUUCAUCCAAAUAACAAGCUUCAUUCUUUUUUCCAGUCUUUGCUCUGUUGUGUAUUUCUUUUAUUUUAUGCAGAUUUAGUUAAGGUGUGUUUUUAUUCUUACACUUUGAUUGGCCUUUCUUAUGAUAAGUUAUUCUUAUUAAUUAUGCAGAAACACAACUGCAUUCCACUAAAUUAGGCUUCAAUCCGUCAGGUGUUAAGCGUAAUGAAGAAUCAUAGUUUUCAAAACGACAAUCCCAAUCAAAAUUUUCCCCCAAAAUAUAUGUAUCUGCAUCUCAACUGCAACCUGCAAUCCACUAUCAGAAACCCAUAAAAGUUUACUCGUUAGCUAGCUAACCAUACCCAUAUUUGACCUUCAAAUUUUGGCUCUCAUAUUUAAUUGUAUUUUCUAUCCGUCAAUGUUGUGGCUCCUGUGAAAAAAAAAUGUUCUAAGGUUGUUCAGAUGUUGUUGUAGUUUGUUUGAAAAUGUGCUAAUUUAAUGAAAAUGAUCAAUUUGAUUAUUUUUUAUUCUAUAAUGAUUUAUUCAUUACGUUGUUUUCUUUGGGUAUACAAGAAGAGUUCUGAAGUGUUGAGAAUGUUGUCAUCUACGAAGCAAAAAAUACAUUAUAAUAAUUCACUCCUUUUCAAUCAUAUUUGUCGAUUGAAUCAACAGAGAUUCAUUUUCAUCAAUCUUUUCGUGAAUAUUUCUUUUGUUCUUAUUUUCCAUUCCAAUUUGUAAGUUAUCAUUCCAAAAGUGAAGGAAUUCAAAGUUUCCAACAUCAAUUCAACUGUGCUACCUUCAGGUAUGUUAUAAUUGUUCUUCUUUUUAAAAUUUGCUUGAGUUUUUGUUUUUAUUUGUUUACAUUUUAUAGUUUUUCUGUACUUUUUCUCCUAAAUUUCUUCUAUAAUAUUUAUCACUAAAGAAUUAUUCACCAAUUGCAAGCUCUAAUAUUAUACAUACUUGAACCAAAAUUUGUAAUUAUUGUUCUUAUAUGUAUAAUGUUUGAUCGUCUUUUCCGGUUGUUGUAGUUGACGACCACCACAAUGUAUUUUACCUUAGGAAAGUCUUUCUAUUGAACUAUAUCCUUUCAUAUCUUUUCUCGUUGCUUUAUGCAUUAAGUUUUUCUGUUCUUUUCUUUUCUUUUUUUUUGGUUAUUUAUCUAUAGUCACUUCUAAAAUUUGUAAUAGGUUGCUGGUUCUUGAUCUUUCUUCGUGGAAUCUAUGAACAUUCUAUUUUUUUAUGCAUCUAUGCUUUAUCAUAUGUAUUUUUUAUUUCUAUCUAGUAGUUUCAGUUUCUACCGCAAAAGUUGGAGUCCAGCUAUUCCACAAAAAUUUGUUAGUGUUGCAAUGGAUAAUAUUUUCAAACAAUAUGAUGAUGGAGAUCAGGAGUUACUUAAUCUUCCAGCUACUUCUCGAACUACCAAUGAGUUAUACCACGCCUUUAUUUGUUAACAACAUAAUCAAAGACAUCAGGAUCAGUACAAUAGUUCAGGUCUUGUUCCAAUAUAUAAAAAUACAAUACUUGAAGACAAUAGUUCAGUUCUUGUUCAAAUGUAUAAAAACAAUUGAUGUUCUCAGUUCUAAAGUAGAAGAAAGUUUGAACCUAUUGCAUGUACCAAAUGUUACCUAUGUAUAACCAACAUAUAUCGAUUGUAAAUAUUGUGAUGCAUGAAAAUUUUUAGAGAGAGUAAAUGGUUUUGUUGUUCUGAUGGAAAAAUUAAGCUCCUUAAACCUCAAUCACCAACUGAACUAUAUGCUUUGUUUAUUUUGAAGAAACUUCAUGUACGGAGUGUAAGAAAUUCUAAAAGAGAUAUAAUAAUCAUUUUGCGUUCACUUCGUUUAGUGUAAAGUAUGACAAAUAACUUUUUAAAAAAUACCAAUGUAUUGCAUAUUUAGGGGUCAAGCAAGUGUAUUUCAACAUGGAUUUAGGUACCCAUGGAACCAAAACAAAUUCAAUUGUUGAAGAACUAAUUCUAUAGUUUUAGAUAGUAAAAUUGUGCUUAAUUUGCAGGUAAAGUCACUUUCUUCAAAAGGUAAUUUCACAGCCACUGUCGGAGGAUAAUGAUGCCCUUGAUCAAGCAUCUUCGCUUUGGUCUGUUCUUUUUACCGUUAAUUUUGCUAUUGGAAGAUAAACUAUGUUUAGUAUAUUUUAUUGUUUUGCAGGCAAUUAUGGUUUUUUUGUAUGUUUUGGAAUGGAGGUGCCACUUCUAUUGGACCAUCAAGUAAGUUUUCUUAUUUACUUUCUGCAUAUCCAUUGGAAGUAUUUGUAUCCAUCCCACAAUAAAAUUAUAGGCAGGAUCCUAUGAAUGUUCUAUUGUAAACAUUUUUUUGCCUUUUUAUUUCGCGAUUUUGGUAAACUUGUUUAUGUAGUAAAUACUUGGCCAAACUUUGCAGGUUACUCUUUAUAUGCGUAUGUUUUAUAGUCUUGUUUAUAUAAAAAUUGAUUAUGAAACAUUCAAUACCAAGUUAUNGGUUGAUCGGAAAU
Molecule: long non-coding RNA, 3263 nt
Filed under: Olea europaea subsp. europaea
Lineage: Eukaryota; Viridiplantae; Streptophyta; Magnoliopsida; Lamiales; Oleaceae
Source: RNAcentral